Camelina sativa (false flax) is the source of this 1884-nucleotide long non-coding RNA. RefSeq lists it as uncharacterized. Lineage: Eukaryota; Viridiplantae; Streptophyta; Magnoliopsida; Brassicales; Brassicaceae. The record is from RefSeq and is a predicted model, not a curated record.
CAAAAACACAAAGAGAAGAGAGAGAGUGAGUGCGUUCUCUAGUGGACCCUCUCUUUCUCUCGUUGAAUAUGGGUUUUUGAAGAACAGAAUUAGGGUUUAUGAUUCGAUGACCCAAACAACAAAACAACAACGUCAAUGGUCGCGGAGAUGCUUCCAAGAAUCAAAAACUAAUUCUAUAAUGAUUGAUAGGUGUUUAAUUGACUCAUCAGACUACAAUACGUCAACACAAGAGGAGGAGGACACUUUUCACCGUCUCCAUGUCUGUCAACGAGAAUGCUAAUUAAAGAAUCUGAUGAUGAUGAUGAUGAGGAUGUUGGUGGCCAAGAGUGUCUUCUCUUUCUUUUGGGGUUUUUAACAAGAAGAGCCAAGAAUCAGUUUCCCCGGAAGCAGGAGGAGGGGGUUAAGGACACUUUUCACCGUCCCCUUGUCAAUGAGAUUGUUUGAAGUCAGAGACAUGGAUUGAAGAAUGAAGGAGAAGAAUGAUGACCCGCACAACAUCAACAUCAAUCAGUGGUAAAUGGUUAUCCCCUUCUUUAUCAGAGAUAGUAUGAAGGAUGAAGAAGACUCUGACGGCUUAAGGUUUCAUUUCAAUCAUCAACACAAUCCAUACAAAGAAAGACAUCUUCAGUGAUCCUAAUGGAAGUUAUAGGAUACAAUGAACUCUAUGAAGUUGCUUUAUGAAGUUGGUAUUGAUAAAAUUUGGUUCACUUCACUUCUUCUGAUUCUUCAUGGCAAGAUUUGAAGGAUCGAAUGCGGAAAGCUGGUGAUGUGUGCUUUGCUGAGGUCACUCGAGACUGUGAUUGAAUGGUGUCGUCGGCUACACCAGUUAUGACGACAUGAAGUAUGCGGUAAGAUAAGGAAACGCAAUGUCACAGAAUUCAGAAACCCCUGGCCUAGAGCUUUUAUCCGGGUUUGGUAGAUGCUUCAUUCAUACCACAUAUGUGACUUUUGUACUCUCAAUUUUGUUAGGCUAAGUAAUAUGAAAGCUCUCUGUCAAGAAGCCCAAGCAGAAGCAGAAGUCGUAGUCGUAGCGGCGGUCGCAGACUCGCAGCCGUAGCCUUAGCAGGAGCAAGAGCCCAAGGAAGGAUCUGAGGUGCAGAGGUAAUCUUCUAUUUGGAGCGAUCAAACUGAAACACUAACUUUGAAUCAGAUGGCAGUGGUUGAGUCUUAUGCUUGGGGGCAAGAAAUCAGACACUGCACAAUUGCCUGCAACUAUCACUUCGUUAGUUGUUGAAGGGAUAUCCCAAAAUACAACUGGUAGUAUAUUUGUCCCAGAGCUGUGAAUGAAUUUCGAGACAACCAUGUCGCAGUCUUCUAUGAUUCUAUCCUUCAUGCUUUUCUGUUGAACUCAGAGGAAAAAACGUGGUGGUGUUGCUGUAGAAACGAUGUGGAUGUUAGUAUGAAUACUCAUCUCAAAAGCCGUGAAACUAACUCUGAAAGGGAAAAACCCCGGUUACAUUAGACCAAUUUAAGUGUUAUGUUCUUCCGUACAGUUUAAAUCUCGAGAGUCGAGACUUUGUUGGUUGAAGACACACCAAGAAUCAAAGCCAACUGCUGGUGAAUGGGUAUCACAGGGAUGUCGACAGGUCGAGGGCGGGGUCGUGGACGCGGAUCCCAGGUUUUUUUAAGUAAUGACAAUAGAGGAUUGUGUGUUGUUUAUGAGGCCAAUCUCCUGAAGAUAUCUUUUCUUUUUGCGUGGGAAAAAAGAUGAACCGAGCAAACGAAAUUCAAACCGGGUUCAGAUUUAUAAUACUAAACCGACUGAGAACAUGUACAAAAGUACAAACAAUUUUUGGUUUAGAUAAAACAGAGGAAAUAAACAAAAUUAAGAUUCCAAACCGGAUUCAGAUUUACAAUACUAAACCGAUAGGUAACAAUACAUUA